RNAcentral lists this ribosomal RNA (484 nucleotides) under uncultured bacterium. RNAcentral describes it as "partial 16S ribosomal RNA". It matches the Rfam family "Bacterial small subunit ribosomal RNA", at positions 30 to 507 of the family's 1533-position model. The record is from RNAcentral.
AUUGAACGCUGGCGGCAGGCCUAACGCAUGCAAGUCGAGCGGAUGAAGGGAGCUUGCUCCUGGAUUCAGCGGCGGACGGGUGAGUAAUGCCUAGGAAUCUGCCUGGUAGUGGGGGAUAACGUCCGGAAACGGGCGCUAAUACCGCAUACGUCCUGAGGGAGAAAGUGGGGGAUCUUCGGACCUCACGCUAUCAGAUGAGCCUAGGUCGGAUUAGCUAGUUGGUGGGGUAAAGGCCUACCAAGGCGACGAUCCGUAACUGGUCUGAGAGGAUGAUCAGUCACACUGGAACUGAGACACGGUCCAGACUCCUACGGGAGGCAGCAGUGGGGAAUAUUGGACAAUGGGCGAAAGCCUGAUCCAGCCAUGCCGCGUGUGUGAAGAGGGUCUUCGGAUUGUAAAGCACUUUAAGUUGGGAGGAAGGGCAGUAAGUUAAUACCUUGCUGUUUUGACGUUACCAACAGAAUAAGCACCGGCUAACUUCGUG